AUGGAAGAGGAGUUAGAGUUGGUCCAUGACAACAAUGCAUGGGAGUCUGUGGAUCUUCCCAACGAUGAAAAGACUAUGGAGCUCAAGUGGGAAUUUAAGGUCAAGAAAGAUGUUGAAGGGUGCAUGAAGCACAAAGCGAGGUUCGUGGCCAAAGAGUAUGUGCAAGGAGAAAGUAUGGACUUCGAAGAAGUGUUCGUUCUUGUUGCAAAUAUGGAGUCGGUGAGAUUACUCAUCGCUCUCGCGGCACAGGAAUCAUGGAAAGUACAUCACAUGGAUGUAAAAUCCGCGUUUUUGAACGGCGAGAUAGAAGGAGAUGUGCAUGUGAAUCAACCAUCGGGUUUCAUCAAAGAGGGAGAAGAGCACAAGGUACUGAAGUCACACAAAAUCUUGUAUGGGCUAUGGCAAGGACCUCGGGAGUGGAACAUCAAACUUGACCGGACAUUGAUUUCUCUUGAACCCCACUGGAGCAUGCAAUGUACAAGAGAGGUGAAGGAAGGGGUCGUCUACUAG
RNAcentral lists this ribosomal RNA (510 nucleotides) under Triticum aestivum (bread wheat). Its description in RNAcentral is "partial small subunit ribosomal RNA". The record is from RNAcentral. Lineage: Eukaryota; Viridiplantae; Streptophyta; Magnoliopsida; Poales; Poaceae.